GCAUCAGUGGUGUAGCGGUAACAUCAAUGCCUUCCAAGCAUUAGCUCCGGGUUCGACUCCCGGCUGAUGCA
Transfer RNA from Schizosaccharomyces japonicus yFS275, 71 nucleotides. It matches the Rfam family "tRNA". Rfam says of the family: Transfer RNA (tRNA) molecules are approximately 80 nucleotides in length. Their secondary structure includes four short double-helical elements and three loops (D, anti-codon, and T loops). The record is from Rfam. NCBI's taxonomy places the organism in Eukaryota, Fungi, Ascomycota, Schizosaccharomycetes, Schizosaccharomycetales, Schizosaccharomycetaceae.